RNAcentral lists this ribosomal RNA (376 nucleotides) under uncultured bacterium. Its description in RNAcentral is "bacterial SSU rRNA". It matches the Rfam family "Bacterial small subunit ribosomal RNA", at positions 524 to 898 of the family's 1533-position model. The record is from RNAcentral.
UACGUAGGUGGCAAGCGUUGUCCGGAAUUACUGGGUGUAAAGGGCGUGUAGGCGGGGCGGCAAGUCAGAUGUGAAAUACCGUGGCUUAACUGCGGGGGUGCAUCUGAAACUGUCGUUCUUGAGUGUCGGAGAGGAAAGUGGAAUUCCCAGUGUAGCGGUGAAAUGCGUAGAGAUUGGGAGGAACACCAGUGGCGAAGGCGGCUUUCUGGACGAUAACUGACGCUGAGGCGCGAAAGCGUGGGUAGCAAACAGGAUUAGAUACCCUGGUAGUCCACGCCGUAAACGAUGGAUACUAGGUGUAGGAGGUAUCGACCCCUUCUGUGCCGGAGUUAACACAAUAAGUAUCCCACCUGGGGAGUACGGCCGCAAGGCUGAA